This 285-nucleotide unclassified non-coding RNA is filed under the name uncultured fungus. RNAcentral describes it as "partial contains small subunit ribosomal RNA, internal transcribed spacer 1, and 5.8S ribosomal RNA". The stretch from base 1 to 73 matches the Rfam family "Eukaryotic small subunit ribosomal RNA", at positions 1759 to 1831 of the family's 1831-position model. The record is from RNAcentral. Lineage: Eukaryota; Fungi.
CCAAACUUGGUCAUUUAGAGGAAGUAAAAGUCGUAACAAGGUUUCCGUAGGUGAACCUGCGGAAGGAUCAUUACAAAUCGAUGGAGGAGAGGGGGGAGAGGUUGGGAUGGAGGAAGGGGGGAGUUGAUGAUCUGGGCUAGUCUGGAUCGAACUUCCCUACCAUACCGCUUGCUCUACACCGAAUCCACAUUUGCGCUUGUUGUGUUUGACAGAGUAAUAUACCCCAAUUAAAUGACAACUUUUAACAAUGGAUCUCUUGGCUCUUGCAUCGAUGAAGAACGCAGC